GGUGUGGUAAAUAUAGGUAAAUAGAUGAAUCCGGCCUCUCACGCCGGAAACUCGGGUUCGAUUCCCGGUGGGAUCACCA
RNAcentral lists this transfer RNA (79 nucleotides) under Desulfobacter hydrogenophilus. Its description in RNAcentral is "tRNA-Glu". Lineage: Bacteria; Pseudomonadati; Thermodesulfobacteriota; Desulfobacteria; Desulfobacterales; Desulfobacteraceae. The record is from RNAcentral.